Molecule: ribosomal RNA, 255 nt
Filed under: uncultured bacterium
Lineage: Bacteria
Description: partial 16S ribosomal RNA
Rfam family: Bacterial small subunit ribosomal RNA
Source: RNAcentral
UACAGAGGGUGCGAGCGUUAAUCGGAAUUACUGGGCGUAAAGCGCGCGUAGGCGGUUUUGUAAGUCUGUCGUGAAAUCCCCGGGCUCAACCUGGGAAUGGCGAUGGAGACUGCAAGGCUAGAGUUUGGCAGAGGGGGGGUAGAAUUCCACGUGUAGCAGUGAAAUGCGUAGAUAUGUGGAGGAACACCGAUGGCGAAGGCAGCCCCCCUGGGUCAAGACUGACGCUCAUGCACGAAAGCGUGGGGAGCAAACAGG